RNAcentral lists this ribosomal RNA (657 nucleotides) under uncultured bacterium. Its description in RNAcentral is "bacterial SSU rRNA". It matches the Rfam family "Bacterial small subunit ribosomal RNA", at positions 8 to 680 of the family's 1533-position model. The record is from RNAcentral.
AGAGUUUGAUCAUGGCUCAGGACGAACGCUGGCGGCGGGCCUAACACAUGCAAGUCGAACGCACUCGACCUUCGGGUCACAUGAGUGAGUGGCGAACGGGUGAGUAACACGUGAGGAACCUGCCCCGAAGACUGGAAUAACCCGAGGAAACUCGGGCUAAUACCGGAUAUCCCCACCAGGUCGCAUGGCCAGGUGAGGAAAUGCUCCGGCGCUUCGGGAGGGUCUCGCGGCCUAUCAGCUAGUUGGUGAGGUAACGGCUCACCAAGGCAUCGACGGGUAGCUGGUCUGAGAGGACGAUCAGCCACACUGGGACUGAGACACGGCCCAGACUCCUACGGGAGGCAGCAGUGGGGAAUCUUGCGCAAUGGGCGAAAGCCUGACGCAGCCACGCCGCGUGAGGGAUGAAGGCUUUCGGGUUGUAAACCUCUUUCAGCAGGGACGAAAAUGACGGUACCUGCAGAAGAAGCUCCGGCCAACUACGUGCCAGCAGCCGCGGUAACACGUAGGGAGCAAGCGUUGUCCGGAUUUAUUGGGCGUAAAGAGCUCGUAGGCGGUUCAGUCAGUCGGGUGUGAAAACUUGAGGCUCAACCUCAAGAGGCCACUCGAUACUGCUGUGACUAGAGUCCGGUAGAGGAGUGUGGAAUUCCUGGUGUAGCG